RNAcentral lists this ribosomal RNA (465 nucleotides) under uncultured Klebsiella sp. RNAcentral describes it as "bacterial SSU rRNA". It matches the Rfam family "Bacterial small subunit ribosomal RNA", at positions 338 to 795 of the family's 1533-position model. Lineage: Bacteria; Pseudomonadati; Pseudomonadota; Gammaproteobacteria; Enterobacterales; Enterobacteriaceae. The record is from RNAcentral.
CCUACGGGCGGCUGCAGUGGGGAAUAUUGCACAAUGGGCGCAAGCCUGAUGCAGCCAUGCCGCGUGUGUGAAGAAGGCCUUCGGGUUGUAAAGCACUUUCAGCGGGGAGGAAGGCGGUGAGGUUAAUAACCUCAUCGAUUGACGUUACCCGCAGAAGAAGCACCGGCUAACUCCGUGCCAGCAGCCGCGGUAAUACGGAGGGUGCAGGCGUUAAUCGGAAUUACUGGGCGUAAAGCGCACGCAGGCGGUCUGUCAAGUCGGAUGUGAAAUCCCCGGGCUCAACCUGGGAACUGCAUUCGAAACUGGCAGGCUAGAGUCUUGUAGAGGGGGGUAGAAUGCCAGGUGUAGUGGUGAAAUGCGUAGAGAUCUGGAGGAAUACCGGUGGCGAAGGCGGCCCCCUGGACAAAGACUGACGCUCAGGUGCGAAAGCGUGGGGAGCAAACAGGAUUAGAUACCCGAGUAGUC